This 3303-nucleotide long non-coding RNA is filed under the name Gossypium barbadense (sea-island cotton). RNAcentral's name for it is "long non-coding RNA (GBAR_LNC016176)". Lineage: Eukaryota; Viridiplantae; Streptophyta; Magnoliopsida; Malvales; Malvaceae. The record is from RNAcentral.
UAUAUAUAUGUAAGUAAUGAUUAUUAUUAAUAUUUUAUAUUAUAUUAUAUUAUAUAUAUAUAUAUGACAAAGAAAGAAAGAAAAGAAACAGAGAGCAAAACAAAACAGAGAAGGGAGAAAGAAAGAAACAGAGAGCAAAACGAAACAGAGAAGGAAGGAAGGAAAGAAAGAAAGAAAAGAAAAGAAAAAGGGAAAUUUGGGGUUUUAAGGUUCAAAGUAAUUUGGUAAGUCAAUUUAAUCCCCUUUUCUCUUAAUUUUGAUAUUUUUUUUGAAAUCCUAGAAUAAAAUACUACUUGAUUUAAGUUGAAAUUUUGAAAGUUAGUAGAUUAUUAAGCAUGGUUCAUGUUGAAUAAAUUGUUAAAUUAGGGAUGUAUUUGAUAGAAAUUUUGAUUGGAAUUGAAUAAAGGAUUGAAUUGUAAACUAAACUAUAAGUUUUGAAUUUUAGGGAUUAAUUUGAAAUAAAUUCGGAAUUAUGAAAACAUGAUAAAAAUUAAAUAGUUAAAUAUGAGUUUAGUAAGAAUUAAGAGAGAAUAUAGAGUUAGAUUGGGAAAAAUAAAAUUAGUAUUGGUAAGGGAUUAAAUUAGAAUUUGGGUAAAGUUUAGGUAUAAAAGGAAAUAUUUUAAUGAAAUUGUGUAUUAAUGAUUUUUAAUUGUUUAAUUACGUAGCUAAUGUCGUGUACGAGUCAUUGUCCGAGAAAGGAAAGGAGAAAGUGGACAAGGAGUGACUCGAGAGAAAUUACGGUUAGUAUUACUAUAAUUCGAAUUUAAUUAUUAAUCGUUGAAAAUUAAAUUAAUAUACACGAUAAGCAAAUUGAGGUGAGUUUCAUAAUUGAAUUGAAUAAUAUAUAUACGUAUUGAUAUUGAAUUUAUUGACAGUAAUUAUUGAAUUUUGAAUAAUAUGUUAGUAAAUAAAAAUAAGGAGAAUAUCAAUAUUUAAUUGAAUGAAUUAAAAUAUGAAUUGAAUAAAUGAGAUAUUAAAUUGAGAUAUGUGAAUAUGUGAAUUGUGUAUUGAUUGAAAAGUGGUUUGAAUUGAAUCGAAGUAUGAUUAUAUGUGAAUAUCUGAAAUAUGUAUUGGUAUUGAAUUGUAUAUUGAUUUGAAAGUGGGAAGUGAAUCUGAGUUGAAUUGCGAUUAAAUCGAAAGUGAAUUUGAAAUAGAAAAAUGUAUUGAAACAAAUGGUGAUUAAAUGGGAAUGAUUUGAAUUGAAAGUAUGAGAAAGUGAUUGAAUUGAAAUGUGAUUCGGAAACCCUAUUAACUAGUCGGGCUGAGUCGGAUAUAGUUGGCAUGCCAUAGGAUUGGAAGAGUUCAGGGAUACUUCGACCUUGAGUCGAUGAGACACUGGGUGUCACUAUAUUUCUUCGGAUAGAUUCGAUGAGGUACUGGGUACCAACUUUACUUCGGCUGGGCCGAUGAGACACUGGGUGUCAACUAUUGCUUCGAACUAUCCGAUGAGGCACUGGGUGCCAUUUUGGUGUGUUUGGUUGGAUCCGUGUAUCCGCCAAGGUCCGAGUCUUGUUAAUAGGGGUAAAUAAUUGAAAUGAGAAAAUUGAAUAAAUGUGAUUGAUUGAGCUAUGGGAAGAAACGAAAAAGUGAAGUUGUGAAUUGAUGUGUGAAUUGGAAAUCGAAAUAAGAGAUUUAAAGAUAUGAGUCCAAAGUUCAUGAUGUGAUAAAGAGUAAAUUUUGUUAUAUGAUAUUAGUGAGUACAAAUUGCAAUAAAAUUUAUAUUGAAUAUAAAUUAAAUGAAAUGAAUUGUAUAUGAAUUGAAAUGAACUAUUGGAAUGAGAUGUAAAGAAAAAUCCAAUGGAAUUGAGAUAGUGAAAUAAGGUAUGAAUACAAUUAAAUACAAGAUUUGAAUUAUAGCUUAUUGUUAUUAAUUAUCAAGUUGAUUUAAUGCAUGAGAUAAUUAAUGAAUAAUUGUAGACAUAAAUAAAAUGUAUAUAAUUUAUCGAUUAAUGUUAUUAAUUCGAAUUAUGGUAAUACCACUGAGUAUUUCCAUACUCAGCGUACGGUUGUUUCCGUGCGCAGGUUAGGUCAAAGUCGGAUUGUUGAAUCAGCAUCCAAAGCCGAUUCUGAGCUAAUUGUGGUGGUGAACAUUUCUUUUAGUUAUGGCAUGUAUAGGAAUUUAGUAAUUUUGUAUAUUUGUAAAUAUGAUUUUACUAUAGAAUGAUGUGUAAGUAUUUGAUGAUGAAUGGUUGUUUAAAUGGUCAAGGAUGAAGUUAAUUAUUGUUAUAAAAGUCUAAGUGAUAAAUUAGGUAUGAAAGUCAUAAAAUGGUAAAAUUUUGCAAAGAAACAGAAUUCAGGCAGCAAUAGUGACGUGAAUUUGAAAAAUCACCCAAGAUAGUAUAAAAUGAAUUAGAGGGUGAAUGAUAUAUGGAAUUAAAGCUUGUUGAGUCUAUUUUCAUGGAAAAAUAACGGUGUAGAGAAAAGAAAUUUAUAUUUUAAGAUAUGUGAAUUUUAGUAAGAUAGGGUCAGAACUGUUUUUGGAGUCCCCUGUUCUGAGUUUAGAAAAUAAUUACAAAUUGUACAAAAAUGGUUAUGAGUUGAAAUUUACAUGCUUAGAUUCCUUAAUGAGUCUAUUUUCUAUAGAAACAAGUAAGAACUUCAUAUGAAAAUCCUAUGGUGAGAAAACUUAUUUUUAGUGACUAGAGGUCAGGGCAGUCUGGUGGUGACACAGGGGAGACUUUAACUAAUAAACUGUACUAAUUUGCUGAACCAAAAAUUCUAAAAAUUUUAUGGUGAGUAUAUAUAUGAGUCUAGUUUCAGGGAAAAUUUACGAAAUUAAAUUUGAAGUUCCGUAGCUCGAGUUAUAAUCAAUUUAGUAACUGCUGCGCGAUUGGACAGAUUACUGUAAACAGUGAAAUUAAUUUUUAAAACGAAUUUUUAUGCCCCGAAUUAGUAAGAUAAGCUAAGUAAUGCCUCGUACUCGAUUCCGGCAACGGUCUCGGGUAAGGGGUGUUACAAUUUAUUUGCUAGUAAACUUACUAAGCUUUAUGCUUACGUCUUUUAUUUCUCUUUUUCCUAUAGUAUUGCAAGGUUACUUCAAGGAUCCUAAAGAAGUCGGAGAUCGUCCACACUAUCAAGAACAACUACUUGGUAUUUUAUGAUGAAACAUAUUUGGGUUAUGGCAUGUAUAGGGAUUUAGUUAUUUUGUAUGUUUGUAAUUAUGAUUUUGCUAAAGAAUGAGGUGUAAGUAUUUUAUGAUGAAUAGUUAUUAAAAUGGUUAAGUAUGAAAGUGUUUGUGGUUAUAAGAGUCUAAGUGAUAUAUUAUGCAUGGAAAUCAUGAAAAGCGUAAAAUUUUGCAAAGAA